CACGUAAGGUGCGAGCGUUGUUCGGAAUCAUUGGGCGUAAAGGGCAUGUAGGCGGCGUUUCAAGUCUGGAGUGAAAGCGCGGGGCUCAACCCCGCAACUGCUCUGGAAACUGGGAUGCUUGAGUCGCCGUGGCGGAGCCGGAAUUCCAGGUGUAGGGGUGAAAUCUGUAGAUAUCUGGAAGAACACCGAUGGCGAAGGCAGGCUCCGAGCGGACGACUGACGCUGAGGUGCGAAGGUGCGGGGAGCGAAC
Molecule: ribosomal RNA, 250 nt
Filed under: uncultured prokaryote
Description: partial 16S ribosomal RNA
Rfam family: Bacterial small subunit ribosomal RNA
Source: RNAcentral